RNAcentral lists this ribosomal RNA (509 nucleotides) under uncultured bacterium. RNAcentral's name for it is "bacterial SSU rRNA". It matches the Rfam family "Bacterial small subunit ribosomal RNA", at positions 355 to 882 of the family's 1533-position model. The record is from RNAcentral.
UGGGGAAUCUUGCGCAAUGGGGGAAACCCUGACGCAGCGACGCCGCGUGGAGGAUGAAGGUCUUCGGGUUGUAAACUCCUUUUCUUGGGGAAAAUAAUGAUGGUACCCAAGGAAUAAGCCACGGCUAACUCUGUGCCAGCAGCCGCGGUAAGACAGAGGUGGCGAGCGUUGUUCGGAAUUACUGGGCUUAAAGGGCGAGUAGGCGGUGGAGCAAGUCUGAUGUGGAAUCCUAUGGCUUAACCAUAGAACUGCCUUAGAAACUGUUUCACUUGAGUCAGUGAGGGGAGGGCGGAAUUCCUGGUGUAGCGGUGAAAUGCGUAGAUAUCAGGAGGAAGGCCUGUGGCGAAGGCGGCCCUCUGGCACUGCACUGACGCUGAGGCGCGAAAGCGUGGGGAGCAAACAGGAUUAGAUACCCUGGUAGUCCACGCCCUAAACGGUGGGCAUUAGGUGUAGGGCUCGUAAGGGUUCUGUGCCGAAGGGAAACCAUUAAAUGCCCCGCCUGGGGAGUA